UUACCCCUACCGUGUCCGUGAUUGGAAGAUAUGCUUUGAUCCAACAUUUAUGGACAGGGGAGCCUUCCCUGAUUUCGGUGUGCAUGUUCUGCUUGUUCAGAAACGCCUGAAGAAAUUAAAAGGCACCCACUUUGAACCAACGGUUCAAAGACCUACCAACACGGCAUUGUGGUGGGGGGCAU
RNAcentral lists this non-coding RNA (182 nucleotides) under Desulfobacterales bacterium. RNAcentral describes it as "6S RNA". It matches the Rfam family "6S / SsrS RNA". Rfam says of the family: E. coli 6S RNA was the first non coding RNA to be sequenced, but its function was unknown until recently. It consists of 184 nucleotides that fold into an extended hairpin structure with a large single-stranded internal bulge. The 6S RNA specifically associates with RNA polymerase holoenzyme containing the sigma70 specificity factor. Lineage: Bacteria; Pseudomonadati; Thermodesulfobacteriota; Desulfobacteria; Desulfobacterales. The record is from RNAcentral.